This is a long non-coding RNA of Xiphophorus couchianus (Monterrey platyfish), 1099 nucleotides long. RefSeq lists it as uncharacterized. The record is from RefSeq and is a predicted model, not a curated record. The transcript is spliced from 6 exons. NCBI's taxonomy places the organism in Eukaryota, Metazoa, Chordata, Actinopteri, Cyprinodontiformes, Poeciliidae.
UACUGUAUGUUUUGAAUUUGCAGUAAUUUACUGUUUACACAUUACAGUAGUGGUACUGUACUUAUAAUAUACAGUAAGAAUUAUAUUUGAUUUCCAACCGUCAUCAUAGCUGCUUCAUCGUGGUUCCCUGUUUCUGUAUUUUUACUCCUUUAGUGGUUAACAUAUUUUUAAGGCAGAAAGAGAGAAUGUACUUUUGUUUUUUUCACAUACUAGCUAACAUUAAUAUGCAGUUUAUCUAGCUACGUCAUCAAGCGUGGCUUCGCUUCCAACUGUUUUCUGAUGACGUUUGUUUUAAACUCCGAAGCUUUUUCUCUCCAAGUGCAAGUGCAGCUCUGUCUCCGUGCUGUGGGCUCACACUGCUUCAGCUCUUCAAGACAGAUGACGUUUUUUUUUAACUCCCAAGCUUUUUCCCUCCAAGUGGCUGUGCAGUUCUGUCCUGCUGACUGCUAACAUAGCUUCAUCUCUUCAAAAGACAAGACAACAGGUAUCUUCCACCAAGAUGUCUGUUGAAAUGGAAAUGACCUUACCCACUACACCAAGGGUAAUCAUGCUUGGAAAUAGCUUGAUGUCUGCAACCCGGUGGAUGGUCAGUAUGGAGGAGAAGGUAUUUUUCGAGCCAGAGCAACUACAUGACUUUGCCAGCGUCCUUGCUGUCUUUUUUGGGUCAUAUUCUGUCUUCAAUCUGGAGUAUCAGGAGUCAGCAUCCACCACGCUGGAGAUGAUACAAUGAUUCUUUGUGAGGAUCAAUCCAGAUGUUGGUACCAAAUGCACAGCCAAAGUCGGUACAAGCCGCAAGACGGGAAGUCUUGUCAAGAGGAAAGUAGUCAGUGUCAACUUCCAGAUCACCACCUUCUUCCAACAACUUGCUGAAUUUGAAUGGAGGACUUCCAACUAGUUCAGCUUCCACAAGAUGGAUCCCACUGAUUUUGUUUGACGAAUGGAAUAAAAGUUCUUCUGAUGUAGGAAAUGUGUUCUAUGGUUUUGUUGUUUUACAGCACAUUAUAUUGUAUUGUGACAUUGUUUUUUAUGACAUUGCGAAUAUGUAAAUGGAUUUUAUUUCUACAAAUCUGCUGAAAAUAAAUACCUGUUAUUCACAGUA